This 459-nucleotide ribosomal RNA is filed under the name uncultured bacterium. RNAcentral describes it as "partial 16S ribosomal RNA". It matches the Rfam family "Bacterial small subunit ribosomal RNA", at positions 339 to 795 of the family's 1533-position model. The record is from RNAcentral.
CUACGGGCUGCAGCAGUGAGGAAUAUUGCGCAAUGGACGAAAGUCUGACGCAGCCAUGCCGCGUGCAGGAUGACGGCGCUAUGCGUUGUAAACUGCUUUUAUAUGCCAAGAAACCUUCGGACGUGUCCGAAGCUGACGGUAGCAUAUGAAUAAGCACCGGCUAACUCCGUGCCAGCAGCCGCGGUAAUACGGAGGGUGCAAGCGUUAUCCGGAUUUAUUGGGUUUAAAGGGUCCGUAGGCGGAUGAUUAAGUCAGUGGUGAAAGCCGGCAGCUCAACUGUCGAACUGCCAUUGAUACUGGUGAUCUUGAAUACGGUUGAAGUUGGCGGAAUAGGUCAUGUAGCGGUGAAAUGCUUAGAUAUGACCUAGAACACCGAUUGCGAAGGCAGCCAACUAAGCCGUUAUUGACGCUGAGGGACGAAAGCGUGGGGAGCGGACAGGAUUAGAUACCCCCGUAGUC